Molecule: long non-coding RNA, 199 nt
Filed under: Lathyrus oleraceus (garden pea)
Lineage: Eukaryota; Viridiplantae; Streptophyta; Magnoliopsida; Fabales; Fabaceae
Description: Pisum sativum (pea) long non-coding RNA (PSAT_LNC036616)
Source: RNAcentral
UUCCAAGUCUCUAACUUUUGCCUGGAUUACCCUUGCGGGUUCUCCACCGAGACGCUCAUUUUUGCCUAAGCCGCCCUUUCGGGUUUUCAACUUAGCGAGCUAUUCUGUUUUUUUUUCAUUCUCGUUUUUUUAUUUGCAUAUACUUUUUUUUUUUUUUUUUUUUUUAGGCAAAGUAUCUCUUAACUGCAUCUGAAUUCAC